This is a long non-coding RNA of Notothenia coriiceps (black rockcod), 318 nucleotides long. RefSeq lists it as uncharacterized. The record is from RefSeq and is a predicted model, not a curated record. The transcript is spliced from 4 exons. Lineage: Eukaryota; Metazoa; Chordata; Actinopteri; Perciformes; Nototheniidae.
CAGCUUUGUGUUCCUGCGGUUCUUCGCCGUCGCUGUUCUUUCUCCGCACUCCUUCCAGCUCCGCUCCCACCACCCUGACCCUGAGAUCUCCCGCACGCUCACCCUCAUCUCAAAAACAAUCCAGACGCUGGGCAGCUGGGGGAGUCUGUCAAAAAAAAUGUCUAGCUUCAAAGAAACCUACAUGUACGACUUCUUCAAAUCAUUCCAAGAAGACAAGUGUAUCGAAAAAGUAAAAAAGUUCCUUGAUGAGAUCUCCACUAACGUCAGCAAAGAGUCCAGUGUGCUGGAGGACGCUGUGGUGCUGAAGGAGGGGUGAGU